This 685-nucleotide ribosomal RNA is filed under the name unidentified microorganism. RNAcentral's name for it is "bacterial SSU rRNA". It matches the Rfam family "Bacterial small subunit ribosomal RNA", at positions 53 to 719 of the family's 1533-position model. The record is from RNAcentral.
ACAUGCAGUCGAGCGAAUGGAUUGAGAGCUUGCUCUCAAGAAGUUAGCGGCGGACGGNUGANUAACACGUGGGUAACCUGCCCAUAAGACUGGGAUAACUCCGGGAAACCGGGGCUAAUACCGGAUAACAUUUUGAACUGCAUGGUUCGAAAUUGAAAGGCGGCUUCGGCUGUCACUUAUGGAUGGACCCGCGUCGCAUUAGCUAGUUGGUGAGGUAACGGCUCACCAAGGCAACGAUGCGUAGCCGACCUGAGAGGGUGAUCGGCCACACUGGGACUGAGACACGGCCCAGACUCCUACGGGAGGCAGCAGUAGGGAAUCUUCCGCAAUGGACGAAAGUCUGACGGAGCAACGCCGCGUGAGUGAUGAAGGCUUUCGGGUCGUAAAACUCUGUUGUUAGGGAAGAACAAGUGCUAGUUGAAUAAGCUGGCACCUUGACGGUACCUAACCAGAAAGCCACGGCUAACUACGUGCCAGCAGCCGCGGUAAUACGUAGGUGGCAAGCGUUAUCCGGAAUUAUUGGGCGUAAAGCGCGCGCAGGUGGUUUCUUAAGUCUGAUGUGAAAGCCCACGGCUCAACCGUGGAGGGUCAUUGGAAACUGGGAGACUUGAGUGCAGAAGAGGAAAGUGGAAUUCCAUGUGUAGCGGUGAAAUGCGUAGAGAUAUGGAGGAACACCAGUGGCGAA